UACGAAGGGGGCUAGCGUUGUUCGGAAUUACUGGGCGUAAAGGGCGCGUAGGCGGCUUAUCAAGUCAGGGGUGAAAUCCUAGAGCUCAACUCUAGAACUGCCUCUGAAACUGAUAAGCUAGAGUUUGGUAGAGGAUAGUGGAAUUCCUAAUGUAGCGGUGAAAUGCGUAGAUAUUAGGAGGAACACCAGUGGCGAAGGCGGCUAUCUGGGCCAAUACUGACGCUGAGGCGCGAAAGCGUGGGGAGCAAACAGG
RNAcentral lists this ribosomal RNA (253 nucleotides) under uncultured bacterium. RNAcentral describes it as "partial 16S ribosomal RNA". It matches the Rfam family "Bacterial small subunit ribosomal RNA", at positions 524 to 776 of the family's 1533-position model. The record is from RNAcentral.